This 301-nucleotide ribosomal RNA is filed under the name uncultured bacterium. Its description in RNAcentral is "partial 16S ribosomal RNA". It matches the Rfam family "Bacterial small subunit ribosomal RNA", at positions 509 to 809 of the family's 1533-position model. The record is from RNAcentral.
CAGCCGCCGCGGGAAUACGGAGGGUGCAAGCGUUAAUCGGAAUUACUGGGCGUAAAGCGCACGCAGGCGGUUUGUUAAGUCAGAUGUGAAAUCCCCGAGCUUAACUUGGGAACUGCAUUUGAAACUGGCAAGCUAGAGUCUUGUAGAGGGGGGUAGAAUUCCAGGUGUAGCGGUGAAAUGCGUAGAGAUCUGGAGGAAUACCGGUGGCGAAGGCGGCCCCCUGGACAAAGACUGACGCUCAGGUGCGAAAGCGUGGGGAGCAAACAGGAUUAGAUACCCCAGUAGUCCCUGUCUCUUAUAA